RNAcentral lists this non-coding RNA (89 nucleotides) under Thiobacillus sp. Its description in RNAcentral is "Glycine sequence". It matches the Rfam family "Glycine riboswitch aptamer". From Rfam's summary of the family: This family represents the bacterial glycine riboswitch. The record is from RNAcentral. Lineage: Bacteria; Pseudomonadati; Pseudomonadota; Betaproteobacteria; Nitrosomonadales; Thiobacillaceae.
GUUCCCGUUGCGGGAGAGCGCGUGCGCCGCACGCCGCCGAAGGCGCAAUUCACCCGGAAUCGCUCAGGCAAAAGGACCGCAACAGCCAG